This 1345-nucleotide ribosomal RNA is filed under the name uncultured marine eukaryote. RNAcentral's name for it is "SSU rRNA". It matches the Rfam family "Eukaryotic small subunit ribosomal RNA", at positions 411 to 1776 of the family's 1831-position model. The record is from RNAcentral.
CACUUCUAAGGAAGGCAGCAGGCGCGCAAAUUACCCAAUCCUGACUCAGGGAGGUAGUGACAAGAAAUAACAAUAAACCGGCUUAUGCCGGUUUAAUUGGAAUGAGUACAAUUUAAACAUCUUAACGAGGAACAAUUGGAGGGCAAGUCUGGUGCCAGCAGCCGCGGUAAUUCCAGCUCCAAUAGCGUAUACUAAAGUUGUUGCAGUUAAAAAGCUCGUAGUUGGAUUUCUGUGGGGACGGAGCGGCCGGCCGCAACUCGCGGUUCGAGCUAGCGCUUUCCCUACAUCCUGCCGCGAACCGUGCUACCAUUAGUUUGGUGGCGCCGGGGAUCGGCUCGAUUACUUUGAGAAAAAUAGAGUGUUCAAAGCAGGCCACAUGCCUUGAAUAAGUUAGCAUGGAAUAAUAACUAAGGACUUCGGUUCUAUUUUGUUGGUGUUCGGGACUGAAGUAAUGAUUGAUAGGGACAGUUGGGGCGGUCUGUAUUCCAAAGCGAGAGGUGAAAUUCUUAGACCUUCGGAAGACAAACAGCUGCGAAAGCGUUCCGCAAGGAUGUUCCCUUUGAUCAAGAACGAAAGUUGGGGGAUCGAAGACGAUCAGAUACCGUCGUAGUCUCAACUAUAAACUAUACCAGCUAGGGAUCGGCCAACGUUAUUUCAAACCGACUUGGUCGGCACCUUAUGAGAAAUCAAAGCAUCUGGGUUCCGGGGGGAGUAUGGUCGCAAGGCUGAAACUUAAAGGAAUUGACGGAAGGGCACCACCAGCCGUGGAGCCUGUGGCUUAAUUUGACUCAACACGGGAAAACUUACCAGGUCCAGACAUAGUAAGGAUUGACAGAUUGAUAGCUCUUUCUUGAUUCUGUGGGUGGUGGUGCAUGGCCGUUCUUAGUUGGUGGAGUGAUUUGUCUGGUUAAUUCCGUUAACGAACGAGACCUCAGCCUGCUAAAUAGUUCUUGUUUCUUUUGAAUCUUUGAACUUCUUAGAGGGACUACUUCGCAAACAAGCGAGAGGAAGCUUGAGGCAAUAACAGGUCUGUGAUGCCCUUAGAUGUUCUGGGCCGCACACGGGCUACACUGGUGUAUUCAACAAGUCUUGUCACCUACAUUGAAGAAUGCGGGUAAUCUUUGAAUCUACACCGUGCUUGGGAUAGACUUUUGCAAUUUUUAGUCUUCAACGAGGAAUUCCUAGUAAACGCGAGUCAUCAGCUCGCAUUGAUUACGUCCCUGCCCUUUGUACACACCGCCCGUCGCUCCUACCGAUUGAACGAUCCGGUAAGCAUUUGGGAUUGGUUUCUUUUAACCCUCACGGGUUUCAAGUGUCGACAACUUAUUCAAACCUAAUCGUUUAG